RNAcentral lists this ribosomal RNA (394 nucleotides) under uncultured bacterium. RNAcentral describes it as "partial 16S ribosomal RNA". It matches the Rfam family "Bacterial small subunit ribosomal RNA", at positions 523 to 918 of the family's 1533-position model. The record is from RNAcentral.
CUACGGAGGAUGCAAGCGUUAUCCGGAUUUAUUGGGUUUAAAGGGUGCGUAGGCGGAUGAUUAAGCGUGAGGUGAAAUGCCACUGCUCAACAGUGGAACUGCCUCGCGAACUGGUUGUCUUGAAUGCUCCUGCCGUGGGAGGAAUGUGUGGUGUAGCGGUGAAAUGCAUAGAGGUCACACAGAACACCGAUUGCGAAGGCAUCUCACGAAGGGGUGAUUGACGCUGAGGCACGAAAGCGUGGGGAUCAAACAGGAUUAGAUACCCUGGUAGUCCACGCAGUAAACGAUGAUAACUAACCGCUGGGUCGUAGUGAUUCAGUGGCCAAGCGAAAGCGAUAAGUUAUCCACCUGGGGAGUACGACCGCAAGGUUGAAACUCAAAUGAAUUGACGGGG